GACGAACGCUGGCGGCGUGCUUAAUACAUGCAAGUGGAGCGACGAACCAGGGCUUGCCCUGGGGCAGAGCCGCGAACGGGUGAGUAACACGUGGGUAACCUGCCUCGAUGACCGGGACAACCCGAGGAAACUCGGGCUAAUACCGGAUGUGCUCUCCUCACAUCAGUGGGAAGAGGAAAGGAAGCUUCGGCCUCCGCAUCGGGAUGGGCCCGCGGCCCAUUAGCUAGUUGGUGGGGAAUGGCCUACCAAGGCUUCGAUGGGUAGCUGUUCUGAGAGGAAGAUCAGCCACACUGGGACUGAGACACGGCCCAGACUCCUACGGGAGGCAGCAGUGGGGAAUCUUGCGCAAUGGGCGAAAGCCUGACGCAGCGACGCCGCGUGAGGGAUGACGGCCUCGGUU
Molecule: ribosomal RNA, 400 nt
Filed under: uncultured bacterium
Lineage: Bacteria
Description: bacterial SSU rRNA
Rfam family: Bacterial small subunit ribosomal RNA
Source: RNAcentral